This 72-nucleotide transfer RNA is filed under the name Ovis aries (sheep). It matches the Rfam family "tRNA". Rfam says of the family: Transfer RNA (tRNA) molecules are approximately 80 nucleotides in length. Their secondary structure includes four short double-helical elements and three loops (D, anti-codon, and T loops). Further hydrogen bonds mediate the characteristic L-shaped molecular structure. tRNAs have two regions of fundamental functional importance: the anti-codon, which is responsible for specific mRNA codon recognition, and the 3' end, to which the tRNAs corresponding amino acid is attached (by aminoacyl-tRNA synthetases). tRNAs cope with the degeneracy of the genetic code in two manners: having more than one tRNA (with a specific anti-codon) for a particular amino acid; and 'wobble' base-pairing, i.e. permitting non-standard base-pairing at the 3rd anti-codon position. The record is from Rfam by way of RNAcentral. Lineage: Eukaryota; Metazoa; Chordata; Mammalia; Artiodactyla; Bovidae.
UCCCUGGUGGCUCAGAUGGUAAAGAAUCUGCCUGGAAUGCAGGAGACCUGGGUUCAAUCCCUGGGCUGGGAA